Molecule: ribosomal RNA, 253 nt
Filed under: uncultured bacterium
Lineage: Bacteria
Description: partial 16S ribosomal RNA
Rfam family: Bacterial small subunit ribosomal RNA
Source: RNAcentral
UACGUAGGGUGCAAGCGUUAAUCGGAAUUACUGGGCGUAAAGGGCUCGUAGGUGGCCAACUAAGUCAGACGUGAAAUCCCUCGGCUUAACCGGGGAACUGCGUCUGAUACUGGAUGGCUUGAGUUCGGGAGAGGGAUGCGGAAUUCCAGGUGUAGCGGUGAAAUGCGUAGAUAUCUGGAGGAACACCGGUGGCGAAGGCGGCAUCCUGGACCGACACUGACACUGAGGCGCGACAGCGUGGGGAGCAAACAGG